CCUACGGGAGGCAGCAGUGGGGAAUCUUGCGCAAUGGGCGAAAGCCUGACGCAGCCAUGCCGCGUGAAUGAUGAAGGUCUUAGGAUUGUAAAAUUCUUUCACCGGGGACGAUAAUGACGGUACCCGGAGAAGAAGCCCCGGCUAACUUCGUGCCAGCAGCCGCGGUAAUACGAAGGGGGCUAGCGUUGCUCGGAAUUACUGGGCGUAAAGGGAGCGUAGGCGGAUAGUUUAGUCAGAGGUGAAAGCCCAGGGCUCAACCUUGGAAUUGCCUUUGAUACUGGCUAUCUUGAGUAUGGGAGAGGUAUGCGGAACUCCGAGUGUAGAGGUGAAAUUCGUAGAUAUUCGGAAGAACACCAGUGGCGAAGGCGGCAUACUGGCCCAUUACUGACGCUGAGGCUCGAAAGCGUGGGGAGCAAACAGGAUUAGAUACCCUGGUAGUCCACGCUGUAAACGAUGAGUGCUAGUUGUCGGCAUGCAUGCAUGUCGGUGACGCAGCUAACGCAUUAAGCACCNCCGCCGUCGGGAGGUACGGUCGCGAGAAUUAAACUAACGAAAGAAGUAGACGGCGUGAGACGUGCCGACGGACGACGACGAGGGAGGAGG
This 603-nucleotide ribosomal RNA is filed under the name uncultured bacterium. Its description in RNAcentral is "bacterial SSU rRNA". The stretch from base 1 to 518 matches the Rfam family "Bacterial small subunit ribosomal RNA", at positions 338 to 873 of the family's 1533-position model. The record is from RNAcentral.